Phascolarctos cinereus (koala) is the source of this 702-nucleotide non-coding RNA. The record is from RefSeq and is a predicted model, not a curated record. NCBI's taxonomy places the organism in Eukaryota, Metazoa, Chordata, Mammalia, Diprotodontia, Phascolarctidae.
CAAAUCCUGGCUGUGUUAUUUAGUACCUGUGUGGCCUUGAGGGUACACCAGCGGCAACCAUUGCUUCUGAAGGAGAAUUUGACUUGUCCCUUGCAACUCUGCUCCUCCCUAUGUUUGAGAUACCCUUUCUUGACUGUAAAGGUAAUUCCAGGACUUUCAAGGAACUUCUGUGAAAUGAAUGAACAAAAGCAAGCGGAGGAACUCUACAAACACCUGGAGGCGCUCCGUGAAAAGGAAAAAGAAAGAAGGACGUGCAACAGGAUCAUACACUUGGAGCUGUCCGGGGCCUUAGAGGUCAUAGUAUCAAAUAGAAGGUGCAGACCCUCAGCCUCAGAGGGGAGGUGCUCUGUGCAGAGGGGUGCAAUAAGGAGGCCCCAGGAUAAGGUACGACUACCAGAUGAGUAGUAGUAUGUGAUUCGGAGCUGGGAGCGAACUUGGAGAUCUUCUAAUUCAACCUCCUCAUUUUACAGAAGAGGAAACUGAGGCCCAGAGAGUCGCUUAUGAUCAUGGACAUAAGUUGUCCUUUGUUCUCAAAGAGGACCAAAAUGAUAUCACUCUGUUGGGGUCCAGGUACAGUGUGUCCAACUGUGGCUUAUCAGACCAAGAUGAGCUCAGAAGGCUCUCCCCCAGGUCAGGCACAAAUAAAUAGUCCGCGUGAAUAUUUUGAGUGGAGAUGUCUCUAAAUGUGCACAUCCCAUCUUA